CGCUGCAGCAGCAGCGCCACAAGAAGAAGGUGGAGAAGGGGCUUCUCCUUUGGCUGCAGAGCCUCUCCAGGAGCCCAGCACAGAUCUCCGCCCAGCAGCAGCUGACAAAGCAGGAGCAGCAGCCACUCCCUUGGUUCCUGGGCACCAGGUGGCCAUCGAGCAGGGAGGCCAAGCGCAGUCCUCCUCCUGCACCAAAGAUACGACAGCAGAUGAGCCAGCAACAUCCCAGACACAAGCACCAUCCCAGGAUCUGUUGGCCGGGCCUGUUCAGCGCAGCGAGCAGCAGCAAGCACAAGGCAUCCAUGACCUCGCACAAGCCCCGGCACGCCAGCCACGGCCCUCCCGCAUCAGGAGGGCACUUCGCGCGCUGCGCAGGGCUUUCCGCUGCAGCUGCAUCACAGGACAGCGAGAGUAGCCGCGCCCGGCUGUGCCAGUACCAGGAGGAUGCUCGGAGCUGGCAGCUGGCCCUCAGGAAGCUUUGCAGCGCCCACGGAAGCAUCACUGCGAGGCACAGGACAGCGCCCCAGGAAUUCAGAUGCCCCACCACAUCCUGCCCCCAGCC
This 562-nucleotide long non-coding RNA is filed under the name Anas platyrhynchos (mallard). RNAcentral's name for it is "lncRNA (ENSAPLG00020000561.1)". Lineage: Eukaryota; Metazoa; Chordata; Aves; Anseriformes; Anatidae. The record is from RNAcentral.